RNAcentral lists this long non-coding RNA (583 nucleotides) under Mytilus galloprovincialis (Mediterranean mussel). The record is from RNAcentral. Lineage: Eukaryota; Metazoa; Mollusca; Bivalvia; Mytilida; Mytilidae.
GCAACGGACAAAAAGCAAAAGUAUCGGACAAAAAGCAAAAUAAUCGGACAAAAAGCAAAAGCGGACAAAAAGCAAAUCGCGGACAAAAAGCACCGUAUCAAGCGUCUCCUGUCAGUCAAAAUGUCACUUUCUGGAAUAUGAUAUAAUUUAUAAUAAUAAGUUUGAAGAAUAUUCUGGUACCAUAAGAACCAAGACUAUUAAAACAUGUAGACAAGUGAGUUGAGACACAGAUAGAUAUCGUUUCGGUAUUUGAAAAUUCAUGUACCAAGUCAUGAAUAUGACAGUUCUUGUCCAUUCGUGUUUGAUGUGUUUUUUCAUUUGAUUUUGCCAUGUGAUUAGGGACUUUCCGACUUGAUUUUCCUACCGAGUCCAGCAUUUUUGUGAUUUUUGCUUUUUGAUACGUGACGACGACAGUUAACCUUUUUUGUAGUUUUGAUUUUAGUAGUUCUGUCUAAUAACUCUAUUGGAGCACUUUUUGUGUUUGAAAUAUACCACUGCUAAUGAAACCGUAUAUCAAAAACAUGCAUAAGCGUGAUGUAUGAAAUGAGUUAUGUCUAUGUUGUAAGAUGGAGCAAAGGGUAUG